This 1171-nucleotide long non-coding RNA is filed under the name Panax ginseng (ginseng). RNAcentral describes it as "long non-coding RNA (PGIN_LNC008709)". Lineage: Eukaryota; Viridiplantae; Streptophyta; Magnoliopsida; Apiales; Araliaceae. The record is from RNAcentral.
CUGGUUCCAUCUUUAUUAUUAUUCUGUUGGAAUAUCCUAUCUGUGCGUUUACGCCGGACCUAGUUUCGUCUUUAUUAUUCUGUUAGAACAUCCUGUCGGUGCGAAUUUUGCCUGACCUGGUUCCGUUACUUAUUAAUCUGUUGGAAUAACCUGUCUAUGUGAAGUACCGCAUGCAUGGUGAUUUCUUUUGUUAUUCCAUUCGUUAUUAUACUCAGUUGGUUAAAGUUUUGACUUCUAUACUCCAUCAAAUUAGUGGAAUAUCCUUGAUAUUUGUGGCCUAUAGUGCAUAGAUGGACUUGGUAUGAUUAUGACCAGGGAUUAUUCGGUGUAAUCAUGACUGUAAUGUUAUAAAUGAUGUGAAAAAAGUCCUCAUUGUCCCGUAGUGCAUUGAUGGAUAGUUGUUGGCAUGAUCAUGACCAUUAAUGAAUACAUAAAUAUUCUUAGCCCGUAGUGCAUGGACAAUUGUGGUCGUGAUACUAAAGAAUAUCCUUGGCCGUAGUGCAGGGGUGAUUCGAUGAUGUGGAUUAUUUAUUAAGCCGAGUCCCAGCGAUAAAAGUCAUGAAAAACCUUUUAAAUCAUAGAAGAUAGUAGAUUUUAUUCUCUACUUGACUCUUCAAAUGGAUUGCUUGUUCCGCUGUAGUUAAACUUGAUGUUUGUUAUAUUUUAUCAGUUUAACACUGUUGAAGGCUAAUGAUAAUUUAUUCUGCAUUAUCUUAGUCAUAAUAUUUCUUACUAGGCUAGUUGAGCUCACCCUUUCUUUCGCUGUUCUCUUCAGGAAAUGAGAAUAUAGUUGGGACGAGUCGGGGAACGGAAUGAUGGACCAUAUGAUAGUAUUAGUAGUCCUCACUAUUCUGUUAAAUAGUGUGACAAUAAAUGUAAUGAGGACUUAUUCUGAGAGUGGAUAUUGUUUAGAAGAUAGUAUUUGUAUUAAAACUCACAGCUCUCUUGUUGUAUAUUAAAGAUUGUAUUUGUAUUCUGUACCAUGUAUUUGGCGACUAAGAAUAGGUGAUGUAUACCUAUUUUGGCGGCAUCACAAUGUUUUUGUUUUAAAGGAAUCAAAUUGGAUUUUAUAUGAACUUACAGUGUUUACUGUGUUUACCAAUUAUCAAUAAUGGAGUUUUGAUGUAAAACAGUGUUUUCAAAGAACUAAGUUUUCUAAAAAAAAUCGUUG